CUCAUUGAAUUAUGAGCGAAUGAGUGAGUGAGUGAACGAACGAAUGUGAAUAGGUGAGCGCAACGCGCCGAGGUGGUGGAUGGCAAGAAAAGCAGACGAUAACAACGUCAGUAAUAAUGACAACAGCAUUUUGCUAUAUUGGGGAACGGGAGCGGAAUCGGAUGGCUAAUGGGACGGUACUGUGGAGCAUCGCGUUGAGUCGAGUGCAGAACGAUGGUAAUAACAUAGCGUUAACGACACAAUGACGGCGAAGAUAACAACAACAACAAAGGCGCAAGCAAUAACACAGCAGCACACACACACACCGACUUUGACUGAAACAGUGGCAAUGGCAACGGCAACGGCAACUACUGAGACUGAGGCAAUUGGCAUGGCGUCGGCAGCGCCGAUUGUGACGACGACGACCAUAACAGUUUGGGUAAAAUGUAUCUAGAUACUUAAUUGCCACAUUCAGUCGUUGUUAAAUAGUUGCACGGCGCAGUACGAUUGCGAUUCUAUGCCAAUGCUGACGACGUUCGUCAUUUGUUCAUUCGCUCGCUUACUCGUUUGCUCAUUAUCAUCGUCGUUGUUGUCGCUUCUUCUUCUAGUCUGUUUUUUGUCGUUGGUGUUAUUGAUAAUUGCCGCGUGCGCGUAAGUGGCAAUAAGCACAACAAGAAGAACAAAUACAAAAUAGUAAUAACAAUUACAGCCUGUUGUAUAAGCCAAUUGGCAGCUAAACUUGCAGUUGCCGGUUGUUGCAGUGAAGCGCAGUCAGUGGUGCUGAAUGCGGAUAUGCCGAUGCACACCGACAUUGGCAGUUCUGCAUCGGACAAUAUGUGCAAUAAAAAUGAAAGAAUGACAAAAAUAAAUUAUGAAUAAUGAAUUGCAGAAGGUAAAACUUCGGGAACCGAAAGAUUAAAUUAAAAAUAAAUUAAAAGAGAAAGCAACACCCAAAUGUAAUAACAAAACAACAGUGAAAGUGAGUGUAAAGGAAAUCAUCGGAAAGGCGAGAAAUAAAUGUACAAAAAAUACUUAACAAAUAGAUAUAUAUUGUCAAAUGUAUAAAAACUAAAGGCGUUAACAGAGUAAAAAUAUAUAUUUAUGUGUAAAAACAUAAAACAGUGACAAUGGCAGUGUUAAAGUUCACGUUGUGCGCCUGGGCGUAUGAGUGACGUUAGUGUGAAUUUGAUUGCGAAAUAAGAGCAAAUGGAAAAAAUACAAUAAAAUAGAAGCAACGGUUAAGAAAAGAAGAGAGAAGAGUGCAUAGAAGUAAGACGUUAAUUGCAAAAAAAUUGAAAAAAAAUUAAAACGGCAGUGAGUGCGCGCAGAAGCAACAUAGUAGCAAACAACAAACGUCAAUUUAACCCACUUUGUUAUUCAUAAUGAAAAUGAAAUGAGAAUUAUCCUUUAAGUGCAGUGGCAAAUGCGUGUGAAUAAAAUUUCAAAAAAAAGCACUAAGCAUACGUAUUUUCAGGCAUACACACAUACAUAUUAUACAUAAAAGAAAGCGAAAAAUGCCACAGGCAUCCAAGCGCUUGGAAAGUGCAAAUUUGUGUGGUUGCGCGCAUUAAUAUAAAAAUAAACACUUGCAUAUUAAUUACAUUCGAUUAUAAUUAGUGAGUAAAUGUAAAACAGUUGUUAAAAAGCGCAAUAAAUGCUCCAGCAAUAACAGCUUGUGACGCAUCAAACAAAAAAAGAACAAAAACAAAAAAAAUACAAAAACAAAAACAACAAGGAACAACAGAAAUAAAACGAAAAAUGCACAAAUAAAUUCAAACAAAUAUUAAUGAAAUUGAAAUUUAUUUAUAUGAAAGUAAAGCAGUAGUGUAAACAUCCGACCACCCUCAAUAAAAUGGUUUAAUUGGCAGAGAAAAAGCGCAAGCGAAAAAAAUCAUUUAUAUAAAUAAUAAUUUAAUUCCCUCUUACCCUAAUGCUGCGCGGCGUCAUUGUCAAUUUUAAUUAAGUAAAGUGUAUUAAUUUGCAGCUCGUUACACUAAUUAAGGAUAAUAAGCGACAACAAUAACUACAACAACAGCAAUAUACUAUCUAAUAGAAUCAGCUACGCAACGCUGGAGGCGCCUGUCGUGUAACAAAAAUAAAUUAACAGCAGCAAGACAAGCCGAGCAAGAGACACACACACACACAAUAGAAAAGUUCGAAAAGCAAACAAACAAAAAAAAACACACAACAAAAAAUAUAUAAGCCUCAGAAAGCACACAGCUAAGUCCAUGCGACUACUUGGCGUGUGACAGCAGUGAAAUAAAAGCGCUUACACACCAACAAACCCAAACUGGAACACAAACACAAACAAAGGAUACUGCAUAUGUGUCUACAUGCGCGGCGUGCAAAGCGAAGCAAAGUAAGUGGCACUAAAAGCGCGCAAAGAACGCUUUUGCAAAGCUUAGAGAGUGUAACAGGAUACUCGAAAUUUAUGUCAACUUAGCGUUGAAUAACCGCGUUUGUGUGUGUGUGUGUAAUAGUUGCGUAACAAUUUUGUGACCUUUAGCAGACACACAUCCACAUAAGGCAUGUUAGAGGUUGUAGCUGCAAAAAAAUACUAAUAAAAUACAAAUCAAAAAACGCCAAAACACAAAAAAUUUCAACUAAAGUGACACAGUUAAAAUAAAAGCAAAAUAAAACAAAAAAUAAAUAAAAACAGAAAAAACCGCAUCAGGAUAAAAUCAACAUCAACAAAAAUGUGCUGCAUCUGGUCUCAAAAGAGCGGCUUAUGAGCAACAGCAAAAACGCAAUAAAAACAACCAACGCAUUUAAUUGGAUUGUAAGCCGUACAUUAAAAAUUUUAAUUCAGGUAAGCAACUAUCUAUGUUGUCAAAUUUCCAUGUGAGCACAAGUACAUACAUAUUUACAUUUACAUACAUAUCCGUUUACGAAAUAACACCUCUUAUUGGAAAACCCUUUAUAUAUUCUAUUUUUAUAGUAAAAACUCUAGAAAUAAACUAUCAAUUUUCUAGACAGAACCAAGAAGUUUCAUAUUUUUCUUUGUCAUUGAAGUUAAUUUAGACUCGUUUGUACUUUAAAUUAAUAACCAUUAUAAUACAAAAACAUAUAUAUAUUUAAUUAGCAGAAGGGAAAUUAUGAAAAAUUUACUAAGACGUUUGAAACGUUAUCACAUUUAAAACAUGCAUAUCAUAUGUUAAAGGUUAAGAUUAUAAUUAAAGUUUUUUAAUUUUGCGGCCAGAUGCCGUACGCUAACUGUGACCAUUUGUUGAAGAAUUUGAAGGUAAAAGAUAAAAAGAUAAGAGUUUAUUAAGUGGAAAACCCAUGAAUAUUUGUGCUAUCGAAAAAUUUGCAGAAUAUGGUGUAAGCCCUAAUUCUACAUCAUUAUGUUUAGAUAUUUAUCACAUUUUAGAUAUUUAUCGCAGGUUUCGGGUUUUUUAAGAUUUUUUCGCAGAUUACUAGGAAAAACCUUUGCUUUGCAUCCUACAGGCUAGCGUUAAUCUGUACGCCUUUAAGUACCACGACUCAGUUAAACGCUAUAAAAUUUCAGAUACUAACAGACUCUCCGAAAAACUGCAAUGACAUCUAAGUUUUGACUCGUCAUGAAGCUUUCUGGUGGAGAAAUCUGUCAGGAGUCGUAGAAUUAUUUUGACCACAUUAUUUUGGCAGAUCUGCAGUUUUCCAACGUGCGACUUUGCGAUAUUACUCCAGGCUGGAAAGACAGGCAUAUAAUACUCGUAUACUGAAUACUGAAAUAUAGAGUUGUAAAUUAGUAGUCUAAGUAUAUUUAUCGCUUGAGCCUAAAGGAUAUAACGUUUUAAUCAAAGGUACCUUUUUUGAUCGAUCAAUCAUCCAAUUCUCAUUUGAACUAUUUAAGCAACUCUCUAUCUAUAUCUGUUUGACUCAUUGUUUACCACGGUUACAGGGAUAUGUCAUGUCCGAAAAAUAAAAUUAAACCUUCCGACAGCAGAUUGCUGAAAUUCCAUUUAGUUUCAAAAAUAGUUUUUCACUGCUUAAACCUUUUUGAUGUUCUUGUAAAAGACGCCUGAGUGAAACAAAGAGCGAUCGCGAAAAUUGCGAUACCUUUGAUUUAAACGAUCCUACUGAUCCCACUUGGAUCCAACCAGAGGCUGACUUCCGCAAAACAAAAACUAACUGGAAUAAGUAUAUGUAUUUAUAUAUAAAAUGGCGCAAAAUUAAUCACCCCUUCGGAAGCUUUAUUAUUUUUGCAAAUGAAGUGAUUUGACACUUGUGAAGUAGACAACUACAGUAUACAAACAGACAAGCAGUGGAAAGAUUUCCAUGAAAGAUUCAAAGGUUAAAAAUAAGGUAAAAAACAAAAAUUCCAUCACUCAAAAUAGUUUUAUUUUAUUUCGUAAAAAGUUAUUCAAAACAAAAUCGCGUGAUUAAUUUACAUUUAUAUACACAUAUAAUCGGUGCUUACAGCCUUGUUGAGUACUUGACCCAGGAGGUCGUCAAAGUGCGACUUUUUUUCACAAAUUAAAGGACCUAAAGAUUUAUGUCGCCUCCGAAAGGCAGAUAGUUUUUUAUGGACAACUUUUUCAUGAAAGAAAUAAGCUCGUAGGUUUGAUAUUACCUGGCGAGUGGGGGCCUUUCUUAAAAAAAUUAUAUUUUUUCUAUGAUUUUGGCGUUUAACUGGGUAAUACUCGCAAAACUAAGUAGGCUGUCCUUACCCCUGAAAUGGUUGAAGUGUCAGUCUGGCAAUCCUCAAGUAGCACUAAAGCGCCGUCUUGAUAGUUCUUACCCCUGUUAAGCAAAGAAGAAAAAUUCAAAUUUUGUUUAUUCUUAUUUUAUUUUCACACAACGAUGUACUAUAUAAGUCGUAAUUCCGGGCAAACUAUCCUGUUCCAAUCAGACGUUGAUGAAACCUCAAACCUUUGAGACAGAAAACCUCAAAGGCAAAAAAUGUAUAACAAAUCAGCGCUAUUUUGUAGCCACUCACUCU
Long non-coding RNA from Anastrepha ludens (Mexican fruit fly), 4903 nucleotides. RefSeq lists it as uncharacterized. Lineage: Eukaryota; Metazoa; Arthropoda; Insecta; Diptera; Tephritidae. The record is from RefSeq and is a predicted model, not a curated record. The transcript is spliced from 3 exons.